AGAGUUUGAUCCUGGCUCAGGACGAACGCUGGCGGCGUGCUUAACACAUGCAAGUCGAACGAUGAACCACCUUCGGGUGGGGAUUAGUGGCGAACGGGUGAGUAACACGUGGGCAAUCUGCCCUGCACUCUGGGACAAGCCCUGGAAACGGGGUCUAAUACCGGAUACUGACCCUCGCAGGCAUCUGCGAGGUUCGAAAGCUCCGGCGGUGCAGGAUGAGCCCGCGGCCUAUCAGCUAGUUGGUGAGGUAAUGGCUCACCAAGGCGACGACGGGUAGCCGGCCUGAGAGGGCGACCGGCCACACUGGGACUGAGACACGGCCCAGACUCCUACGGGAGGCAGCAGUGGGGAAUAUUGCACAAUGGGCGAAAGCCUGAUGCAGCGACGCCGCGUGAGGGAUGACGGCCUUCGGGUUGUAAACCUCUUUCAGCAGGGAAGAAGCGAAAGUGACGGUACCUGCAGAAGAAGCGCCGGCUAACUACGUGCCAGCAGCCGCGGUAAUACGUAGGGCGCAAGCGUUGUCCGGAAUUAUUGGGCGUAAAGAGCUCGUAGGCGGCUUGUCACGUCGGUUGUGAAAGCCCGGGGCUUAACCCCGGGUCUGCAGUCGAUACGGGCAGGCUAGAGUUCGGUAGGGGAGAUCGGAAUUCCUGGUGUAGCGGUGAAAUGCGCAGAUAUCAGGAGGAACACCGGUGGCGAAGGCGGAUCUCUGGGCCGAUACUGACGCUGAGGAGCGAAAGCGUGGGGAGCGAACAGGAUUAGAUACCCUGGUAGUCCACGCCGUAAACGGUGGGCACUAGGUGUGGGCAACAUUCCACGUUGUCCGUGCCGCAGCUAACGCAUUAAGUGCCCCGCCUGGGGAGUACGGCCGCAAGGCUAAAACUCAAAGGAAUUGACGG
Molecule: ribosomal RNA, 896 nt
Filed under: uncultured bacterium
Lineage: Bacteria
Description: bacterial SSU rRNA
Rfam family: Bacterial small subunit ribosomal RNA
Source: RNAcentral